RNAcentral lists this ribosomal RNA (823 nucleotides) under uncultured bacterium. RNAcentral's name for it is "bacterial SSU rRNA". It matches the Rfam family "Bacterial small subunit ribosomal RNA", at positions 8 to 796 of the family's 1533-position model. The record is from RNAcentral.
AGAGUUUGAUCCUGGCUCAGGACGAACGCUGGCGGCGUGCCUAAUACAUGCAAGUCGAACGAACUCUGGUAUUGAUUGGUGCUUGCAUCAUGAUUUACAUUUGAGUGAGUGGCGAACUGGUGAGUAACACGUGGGAAACCUGCCCAGAAGCGGGGGAUAACACCUGGAAACAGAUGCUAAUACCGCAUAACAACUUGGACCGCAUGGUCCGAGUUUGAAAGAUGGCUUCGGCUAUCACUUUUGGAUGGUCCCGCGGCGUAUUAGCUAGAUGGUGAGGUAACGGCUCACCAUGGCAAUGAUACGUAGCCGACCUGAGAGGGUAAUCGGCCACAUUGGGACUGAGACACGGCCCAAACUCCUACGGGAGGCAGCAGUAGGGAAUCUUCCACAAUGGACGAAAGUCUGAUGGAGCAACGCCGCGUGAGUGAAGAAGGGUUUCGGCUCGUAAAACUCUGUUGUUAAAGAAGAACAUAUCUGAGAGUAACUGUUCAGGUAUUGACGGUAUUUAACCAGAAAGCCACGGCUAACUACGUGCCAGCAGCCGCGGUAAUACGUAGGUGGCAAGCGUUGUCCGGAUUUAUUGGGCGUAAAGCGAGCGCAGGCGGUUUUUUAAGUCUGAUGUGAAAGCCUUCGGCUCAACCGAAGAAGUGCAUCGGAAACUGGGAAACUUGAGUGCAGAAGAGGACAGUGGAACUCCAUGUGUAGCGGUGAGAUGCGUAGAUAUAUGGAAGAACACCAGUGGCGAAGGCGGCUGUCUGGUCUGUAACUGACGCUGAGGCUCGAAAGUAUGGGUAGCAAACAGGAUUAGAUACCCUGGUAGUCC